AAUUUUUUACAAUGGGGGAAACCCUGAUCCAGCCAUCCCGCGUGUAUGAUGAAGGACUUCGGGUUGUAACGUACUUUUGGCAGCGAAGCAAAGGUAUCCCCUAAUACGGGAUACUGCUGACGGUAUCUGCAGAAUAAGCACCGGCUAACUACGUGCCAGCAGCCGCGGUAAUACGUAGGGUGCAAGCGUUUAUCGGAAUUUCUGGGCGUAAAGCGUGUGUAGGCAGUUCGGAAAGAAAGAUGUGAAAUCCCAGGGCUCAACCUUGGAACUGCAUUUUUAACUGCCGAGCUAGAGUAUGUCAGAGGGGAGUAGAAUUCCACGUGUAGCAGUGAAGUGCGCAGAUAUGUGGAGGAAUACCGAUGGCGAAGGCAGCCCCCUGGGAUAAUACUGACGCUCAGACACGAAAGCGUGGGGAGCAAACAGG
RNAcentral lists this ribosomal RNA (424 nucleotides) under uncultured bacterium. Its description in RNAcentral is "partial 16S ribosomal RNA". It matches the Rfam family "Bacterial small subunit ribosomal RNA", at positions 360 to 776 of the family's 1533-position model. The record is from RNAcentral.